UUUAUAAAUGAGCCAUCAAGCUGGCUCAUUAAAUUAUCGAGCCAAAAAAUUCAGCUCGUAUUCGGUUCAUUUAUUUAAUAAGCCGAUCACAAGCUGGCUCACAAAUAAGUGAAAAAAUUAAAAAGAAUAUAUAUAAAAAAUAAAUUUAUAAAAUUUUAUUUAUUAAACUUUGAUUUAAUUCUUGCAAAUUUACAUACAUAAAUAAAUUUUUUUAUAGUUGAGUUAGGCUUUACAUUUAAGUUGGACUAAAAAUCAAAUAAUAUAAAUCUGUAUUAUAUAUAUAAUUAUUUAUUUUUACAUAUAAAUAUAAAUUAUGUAAAUUAUAUAAAUAUAAAAUAUAUAUAUUCGAGUUGUUAUCGAGUCGAAUACGAGCGAGCUGACCCUAAAUUAUGGUGUAAUAUAAAUAGUAAAAGUUUUGUAUAAAUGGUAUAAUUUAAGUAUAAAUUUUUCUAUCUAUUGAAGAAGCUUUAAUGUGCGACCAAAGAUUUAGUCAAGUUUUCUAUUAAUUUGACUUAAUAAUUGUAAGAUAGCAAAAUAUAUUAUCAAACAACCUUACCAAUGGUUUGGAAUGCAAACUGGGCGGAUCCGGUGACGGGAGGGUUCUUCCAUAUCUUGUUCUAUUUUUUGUCGGGGUGGGACGGAUUCGGGACGGGUUAUUUUUUAUUUUAUUUUGGGUUCUCACUUAUUGUCUCAUUCAGGGCAGAUCAGGAUAGGAGCCGAUUUUUGACGGAUUUUUGAUAGAUCAGGACGGAUUGAAGAAAGAAAAGGAUCUCAUGCCUCCUGCUCUAUUUACUUGGCAGAUCAGAAUGAGUUAUAUUUUUCUAUUUUUUUUUGUUCCUACGUACCGCUCCAUUCGGAACGGAUCGGGACAGGAGGUCUACCAACCUGG
This 889-nucleotide long non-coding RNA is filed under the name Ananas comosus (pineapple). RNAcentral's name for it is "long non-coding RNA (ACOM_LNC036054)". The record is from RNAcentral. Lineage: Eukaryota; Viridiplantae; Streptophyta; Magnoliopsida; Poales; Bromeliaceae.